UCUCUGGUUGUCCAGUGGUUAGGAUUCGCCACUUUCACUGCUGAGGGCACAGGUUCAAUCCCUGGUCUGGGAA
Molecule: transfer RNA, 73 nt
Organism: Ovis aries (sheep)
Lineage: Eukaryota; Metazoa; Chordata; Mammalia; Artiodactyla; Bovidae
Rfam family: tRNA
About the family: Transfer RNA (tRNA) molecules are approximately 80 nucleotides in length. Their secondary structure includes four short double-helical elements and three loops (D, anti-codon, and T loops). Further hydrogen bonds mediate the characteristic L-shaped molecular structure. tRNAs have two regions of fundamental functional importance: the anti-codon, which is responsible for specific mRNA codon recognition, and the 3' end, to which the tRNAs corresponding amino acid is attached (by aminoacyl-tRNA synthetases). tRNAs cope with the degeneracy of the genetic code in two manners: having more than one tRNA (with a specific anti-codon) for a particular amino acid; and 'wobble' base-pairing, i.e. permitting non-standard base-pairing at the 3rd anti-codon position.
Source: Rfam